Molecule: ribosomal RNA, 150 nt
Filed under: Physarum viride
Lineage: Eukaryota; Evosea; Eumycetozoa; Physariida; Physaraceae
Description: partial small subunit ribosomal RNA
Source: RNAcentral
CUGGAGCUAAUACGUGCAUUAACAUCCUAUACCUUUGUGUUAGGAUGGCACUUAUUAGAUAAAGAACCAACCCAUGCUUGCAUGGACAACUGGUGAUCCAUAAUAAUCUCGUGAAUCGCAUUGCUACGGCAAGCGAUAGUUCACUUGAGU